This 577-nucleotide long non-coding RNA is filed under the name Olea europaea subsp. europaea. The record is from RNAcentral. Lineage: Eukaryota; Viridiplantae; Streptophyta; Magnoliopsida; Lamiales; Oleaceae.
GCCUGCUGUAAUCCUCCUCAUGUGUAAGGUGUAUAAGAAUGUGUGUUGUGUCAAUCAGUCCCACCUCGAAACAACCAUGGAACCCAAACUUAGAAAAAAUCUCACGUACCUUCCUCAUGGUUGGCUUGCGAUGUGGAAAUUUCCCCACAAGUGUAUACUUGUAAGGAUCAGCGAGUGUAGCCUCCUCGGACUCAGUCAAAACUAUUGCCGGCUCACCCAUAUGUAUAAAGGGUUCUUUAGCAGCAAACCCAGCAGUGGAAGAGUCAUCUAUAUCCCGUAUAACCGAUGCAAACGACUUUCGUGAACUCCGUUCAGCUUGAGACAGGCCCGGACGGCCAGAAACUGCAGUAGCAUAGGUCUUUCGGCCCUGAUUGAGCACUGUCUGGGCCUCAUGUGGAAAAACCGAUGAUGGAAUUGGGUCCGUAACAAAAUUCCCCACAUUCUGGUGAAGUGUCACCGGCGCGUGACCACCACGCGCCGGCCGUUGACCGGCGGCGAUUUUCCAACGGUGUCAGAAAAUUAUGAUUUUUCACAGGCAGAUGCGGAAUUUGAUGCUGAUCAUCACGGUAUGUUCCGU